UGGGCAACCUGCCCCUCUCUCUGGGAUAACCCCGGGAAACCGGGGCUAAUACCGGAUGUGACGCGCCCGCGCAUGGGGGUGUGUGGAAAGAUUUAUUGGCCAGGGAUGGGCUCGCGGCCUAUCAGCUUGUUGGUGGGGUGAUGGCCUACCAAGGCGACGACGGGUAGCCGGCCUGAGAGGGCGACCGGCCACACUGGGACUGAGACACGGCCCAGACUCCUACGGGAGGCA
This 231-nucleotide ribosomal RNA is filed under the name uncultured bacterium. RNAcentral describes it as "partial 16S ribosomal RNA". It matches the Rfam family "Bacterial small subunit ribosomal RNA", at positions 118 to 350 of the family's 1533-position model. The record is from RNAcentral.